This 1343-nucleotide ribosomal RNA is filed under the name uncultured bacterium. RNAcentral describes it as "16S ribosomal RNA". It matches the Rfam family "Bacterial small subunit ribosomal RNA", at positions 28 to 1378 of the family's 1533-position model. The record is from RNAcentral.
GACGAACGCUGGCGGCGUGCUUAACACAUGCAAGUCGAACGGAAAGGCCCUGCUUUUGUGGGGUGCUCGAGUGGCGAACGGGUGAGUAACACGUGAGUAACCUGCCCUUGACUUUGGAAUAACUUCAGGAAACUGGGGCUAAUACCGGAUAGGAGCUCCUGCUGCAUGGUGGGGGUUGGAAAGUUUCGGCGGUUGGGGAUGGACUCGCGGCUUAUCAGCUUGUUGGUGGGGUAGUGGCUUACCAAGGCUUUGACGGGUAGCCGGCCUGAGAGGGUGACCGGCCACAUUGGGACUGAGAUACGGCCCAGACUCCUACGGGAGGCAGCAGUGGGGAAUAUUGCACAAUGGGCGGAAGCCUGAUGCAGCAACGCCGCGUGCGGGAUGACGGCCUUCGGGUUGUAAACCGCUUUCGCCUGUGACGAAGCGUGAGUGACGGUAAUGGGUAAAGAAGCACCGGCUAACUACGUGCCAGCAGCCGCGGUGAUACGUAGGGUGCGAGCGUUGUCCGGAUUUAUUGGGCGUAAAGGGCUCGUAGGUGGUUGAUCGCGUCGGAAGUGUAAUCUUGGGGCUUAACCCUGAGCGUGCUUUCGAUACGGGUUGACUUGAGGAAGGUAGGGGAGAAUGGAAUUCCUGGUGGAGCGGUGGAAUGCGCAGAUAUCAGGAGGAACACCAGUGGCGAAGGCGGUUCUCUGGGCCUUUCCUGACGCUGAGGAGCGAAAGCGUGGGGAGCGAACAGGCUUAGAUACCCUGGUAGUCCACGCUGUAAACGGUGGGUACUAGGUGUGGGGUCCAUUCCACGGGUUCCGUGCCGUAGCUAACGCUUUAAGUACCCCGCCUGGGGAGUACGGCCGCAAGGCUAAAACUCAAAGGAAUUGACGGGGCCCCGCACAAGCGGCGGAGCAUGCGGAUUAAUUCGAUGCAACGCGUAGAACCUUACCUGGGUUUGACAUGGAUCGGGAGUGCUCAGAGAUGGGUGUGCCUCUUUUGGGGUCGGUUCACAGGUGGUGCAUGGCUGUCGUCAGCUCGUGUCGUGAGAUGUUGGGUUAAGUCCCGCAACGAGCGCAACCCUUGUUCACUGUUGCCAGCACGUUAUGGUGGGGACUCAGUGGAGACCGCCGGGGUCAACUCGGAGGAAGGUGGGGAUGACGUCAAGUCAUCAUGCCCCUUAUGUCCAGGGCUUCACGCAUGCUACAAUGGCUGGUACAGAGAGUGGCGAGCCUGUGAGGGUGAGCGAAUCUCGGAAAGCCGGUCUCAGUUCGGAUUGGGGUCUGCAACUCGACCUCAUGAAGUCGGAGUCGCUAGUAAUCGCAGAUCAGCAACGCUGCGGUGAAUACGUUCCCGGG